GAGGAAAGAGGGAGGCGUGCCUAAUACAUGCAAGUCGAGCGAACGGACGAGAAGCUUGCUUCUCUGAUGUUAGCGGCGGACGGGUGAGUAACACGUGGAUAACCUACCUAUAAGACUGGGAUAACUUCGGGAAACCGGAGCUAAUACCGGAUAAUAUUAUGAACCGCAUGGUUCAAAAGUGAAAGACGGUCUUGCUGUCACUUAUAGAUGGAUCCGCGCUGCAUUAGCUAGUUGGUAAGGUAACGGCUUACCAAGGCAACGAUGCAUAGCCGACCUGAGAGGGUGAUCGGCCACACUGGAACUGAGACACGGUCCAGACUCCUACGGGAGGCAGCAGUAGGGAAUCUUCCGCAAUGGGCGAAAGCCUGACGGAGCAACGCCGCGUGAGUGAUGAAGGUCUUCGGAUCGUAAAACUCUGUUAUUAGGGAAGAACAUAUGUGUAAGUAACUGUGCACAUCUUGACGGUACCUAAUCAGAAAGCCACGGCUAACUACGUG
Molecule: ribosomal RNA, 497 nt
Filed under: uncultured bacterium
Lineage: Bacteria
Description: partial 16S ribosomal RNA
Rfam family: Bacterial small subunit ribosomal RNA
Source: RNAcentral